CCUCCGCCCCGCGGCCUCCACGCGCCCUGGGCCCGGCGCUGCGAGGGCGCGGCGGGAGGGGGCGCCACGCGGAACAGCCGCUGCCCGGGCCCGACGCGCUCACCCUCCAGGGCCUCGAAGAUCGCCUGCGCCAUCUUGGAGCUGCCGCCGCCCGGGGAGUCGGAGCCGGGGCUACGCAAGCAUUGUGAGAACCGCGGCGGGGUCUGAGCCGCCAGGGGGCGCCCAGGAGCCAACGCCGAAGCCCCUGCCCCGGAAACAGCUUUCCCCGCUGUCCGGCCGGAGACCCAGUCCCCUCGUAUUUCCAAUUCUACACAGACCCUCGUCCGGCGCUCGCACAUCACCUCCCAGCGCUGACAACGACACCUGUUCUGCAACACGCACCCCAUUAUCGCUGCACACAGUAUUCUCCAACGUUGCAACAUCAACCCGCCUCACUGAGAUUGUCUGUGACGAGGACACCCAUACCUUGAAAUUGUGCCACGCAGAUUGGAAAGCAGCUUUCUCGAACGAUAUGUUCGAUUCCCUCAGGGUUCUUCUUAACCCCAAUUUCCAGCUUGCGGGGGGGGGAACCUCCAUUCCCAUUCACACAUCUCUCCACCGUGAUUUUCUGAGACCCAUUUCUUCUUUCUCGACCCUAUUCCCAUUUCAGCUAUUCCUAGCUCAAGCUCAUAGGGAUCCACCCCCAACUUCAUGUCCUCUUUUUUACAUUAUUUUGUUUUGUGUGUAUAUGGACAUACAUGGCAUGUAUCUACACACAGACAUACAACAAAACAGGUGUGGAGAUCAGAGGUCAACGUUUAGGAAUCGAUUCCCUUCCCUCCGUCAUGUGAGACCCAGGCACUGAACUCAGUCUCUGCGACAAGUACUUUUUACCAACUGAGCCAUUUCUUAGGGCUCUUGUUUUGUUUAUAAUCCACGAAGUCCAAUUUGAACUGCCGGUGUAUUAUAUUGAUUGAUGUGGGGUCAUCUACUGGAACAUGGUUUAUCAGGGACUACAUAUACCCCUAGAGGAAACUGACUUUCCAUCCCAAGACAACCCUCAGUGGGGAUUUGUGAGCUCCUCACCCAUGCGUUCUGGAAUGAUGACUGGCUUGAUCCUGUGCAGGUGGAGAAAGCUAUAGCUGGUCUGAGUUGGGAUUGGAGAAUGGUGAAGCAGUUAAGAGCAUUUGUUCAUGGAGAAGACCCAGGUUCCAUUCCAAGCACUAUUGUGGUUCACAGUCUUCCAUCACUUCAGUUCCAGGGGAACCAACAUCUCUUGGUCUCCAGAGCACUGCUGGCAUGUAGCACACAGCUAUACAUGCACAUAAAACUCCCACACACAAAGUAAAAGUGCAGAUAUAAUUUUUAAAAAAUUCACUUGUUUGUUGAGCACCUCCUAUAUGCCAGACAUUGUUCUAGAUUCUAGAGACAUAGCCAAGACCAAAAAAAAAAAAUGCCUUUAGUCAUAAUCCAUCAGAAAAGAUGGGCCAUAGACAAGGAAGUAAAUGUAAAUUGAGGAGAGACAGGAGCCAUGGCUUCAAAUAACUUUUGUUCUGGUACAAAGAGGAGCUAUGUUAGUCAGGGUGGUUGGUCAGGAAGAGGUAGAUAAGCUAAGCCUCUCUGAAAAGGUAGAUAAGCUAAGAAACAGUGGUGCCCGCUCUUGGAAAGGGUAAUGGACACUGGAGAGACUAGUAAGUACAAAAGCUCUUCUGAGGUCAAAAUUAAAGGCCAAGGGUGGGGUGGAGCUAAAGUAGAUCACUUGUUUAGCAUUCAUUCACCAGGCUCUGUAUGCAGCCCCGCCCUCUUCUAGCUACACACCCACCGGGCAGCUGAGACUAUUGAGAAAGGGUUUCUCUGUGUAGCCCCGACUGUCCCGGAACUCACUCUGUAGACCAGGCUGGCCUCAAACUCAGAAAUCCGCCUGCCUCUGCCUCCCAAAUGCUGGGAUUAAAGGUGUGCGCCACCACGCCCAGCUGGCAGCUGAGAUUAUUAAGUGAGACUUAGGUUUUGUUCUGAGACUGACAGACAGAAAAGGGCUCCGUGAACACUAGGCAACACAUCCACGACAUCUCUCUAAUACUCCUCACGCAGGGGUGCAUGCACAUCUGCUCUGUGUGCUGUUCUGUGAACUGCCCCCGAAGGGCUGUUUUUCUGUCCUUCCUGGAACAAUAGGAACCUGUCUCCUUGCCUCACCUGAGAAAUAUUCCAUGACCUGGCAGGACAGAACAGAACAGAACCCAGCCUCACCAUUCUAAAUUCCCACACUUCCUGGCACUACCCCCAUGUUAGCAGUUAGCUCUCUUUUUUCUCACCCAUCAAGCUGGGUAGGCACUGCAUCUAUUCUGGUUGGACCUCAAGGCUUGACCCAGAAGCCAGCAGGGAAAAGCUUGACUGAUGAACUGUUGGAUGGGACAGAUCAAUAAGGCUUCAGGGAUGCUAAUCCCUAACACAGGCGGAUUGCCCCAGGCAGGUGGCACCCUCCACAAACUUUCCAUUCAUUACCACUGUCCCCUUCCUCUAUCACAGUCCCUAUCAGUCCCAUGUCCUAGUCCCUCUAGGUUACCUGGUUGGCACUGAACAUCUGAAGCAACUAAUGUAGUAACUCCAGGUACAGGGCCAACUAGGGGAAAGGAAAAGAUUGAGAAACCUCUAACAAUGAACUUGACAGUGAGCACUCCAGUUACCAGCAGAAUGUAAACGACUCUGACAGUACUUAAAACUAGAUCCCAGGUUAAGGCAGAAUGUGAAUGUUUGAGAAGCUAGGCUACAUCCUUACAUUGUGGUGUCUGUAGGUGGUAGCAAGGCACUAGUUACAGACAGAACUGAGAGUUCAUCUUCACCCUUCAGCCCCCAGCCCAUGAUACCCAGAGGGCCUAGACCUAGUAAUCAGAAUGUCUCUGUAUGUGGGGGCUGGGGAUAUAGGCGAAUUGGUGGUUGCUUGGCAGGCAGGAAGCUCCAGGUGGAUCCUCAGCACGGUGUAAGUAAAUGAUCGAGGUGGUGUGCCUGUGACCUCAGCAGUGGGCAGGUGGAUGCAGGGAAACCAUUCAUUCUCAGCCACAGAGUCAGUUUGAGCUAGAGAAGACCUUGGUUGGAGGGGACAGGGGUGAGGCUGACAGGAUGGUUCAGCGAGUGAAGAAGAGACCUGCCACGCGGUGGCAGGAUCUCAUUAUGUACUUCUGGCUGGCCUGGAACUCAAACCCAGAGCUCCUACUGCCUCUCUGUCUCCUCAGUGCUCAGAUUAAAGGUAUAUACCACAA
Mastomys coucha (southern multimammate mouse) is the source of this 3236-nucleotide long non-coding RNA. RefSeq lists it as uncharacterized. The record is from RefSeq and is a predicted model, not a curated record. The transcript is spliced from 2 exons. Lineage: Eukaryota; Metazoa; Chordata; Mammalia; Rodentia; Muridae.